AUAUCUAGGCAAACGCUGCAAAUUUAUUUUGUAGAGGAAAGUCCAUGCUCACACAUUCUGCGAUGAAUGUAGUGUUCGUGCCUAAGGAACAAAUAACUUAGGGUAGUUUAACUAACGGCUCUAAAAAUUUCUGAAAAUGAAAUGAGUAAGUAUAAAAGUGCCAAAGAGACGAGUCUUUUAGAAAUAAAAGAAGUGGAACGUGGUAAACCCCGCGAGUGAGAAACCCAAAUUUUGGUAGGGGAACUGAAAAAGGGAAAUUGAACCUGAUUUCGGAUGUAUAUACAUAGAUAAAUGUUUGCCGCUUUGAAAAAAGUACAGAACAUGGCUUAUAAGA
Molecule: RNase P RNA, 334 nt
Filed under: Bacillota bacterium
Lineage: Bacteria; Bacillati; Bacillota
Description: RNase P RNA component class B
Rfam family: Bacterial RNase P class B
About the family: Ribonuclease P (RNase P) is a ubiquitous endoribonuclease, found in archaea, bacteria and eukarya as well as chloroplasts and mitochondria. Its best characterised activity is the generation of mature 5'-ends of tRNAs by cleaving the 5'-leader elements of precursor-tRNAs.
Source: RNAcentral